GGACCGGAGGCCGCGGGGACAGCGCGCCGGGCGAGUCUGCUGGAGCUGCCUCUGCGGCCCCUGUCCUCACCCCUGAGGAGGCCAGGCCCGGGCAGGUGCCUGGGCUGGGGCUGCUCCUGGCCAGGCUGGAAGACUGUCAGAUGGAGGACAGGUCAGGUGGUCGGAAAGCUGGGGACAGGGAGGGAGCAGGUUUGACGGAGGGACGUAUGGGCAGGCUCCUCCUCCCGGUCAGGUCCCACGUGACCCCCCAGCCACGCCUACCCACAUCGCCCUGCUGGAGGCCGGGGGCGGGGGGAGCGGGGAGUGGGGGGUGUGGGGGGUGAGGGGGGUGGGGGUGGGGGUGGCCCGGCCCGGAGCUAGGGGGCGGGGCCGUGCUUCUUCUGGCCCUGGCCUCCAAUUGGCUGCCGGGCGUGGGAAAGCGUGCACCACUGCCUGGCGCCCAUAAAGACGCCUCCACCACCUGCGCCGCCGCCGCCUCCCGGCCGCCCUCCGCCCCGCGCGCUCGUUGAGGCCGGUGCUCCAGAGUGAAGAGCGUGGCGGUGCGGCGGUAGCGCAGGGCCCUCCUGCGGGGCCAGGCAGGGGCGGGUGGGCGCUCCUUGCCACCUUUCUGCUCUCCCUGCUGUCCGAGAAGUUCGUGCGGUGCCAGCCCAGCUCCCAGCUGGGGACAGAACAGGAAACGUCCCCGGCGAGCCUGGCGGGGGUGGCGGCAGGGGUGUCUGUCGCCUGCGCUGGGCAGGACGCGCGUCCUACCGGCCUCCCACUCCGCGGGCCUCACCAGCCACCUCAUUCCCGGAGCCCGGGCCGCCGAGAGCGCCGCGGAUGGACCUCAGGGAAGGCCUGGCGCGCCGCCUCCGGGAAGCCUUCCGGCCUUCUCCCUCCACCGAGUACUGGGGAGUCUCAGGCCACGGUGAAUGAAGAGCAACGGGCCGGAGAGACCUCGGCCUCUGCCCAGGAGCAGCGCCCAGCAACCCCGCCCACAGGGGACCCGGUGGACGCCCUGGUGGCCACUUUGCCAGGCUCCCCAUCUCCCAGCGAACCAGAGAGGAUUUCCGUUCCCCUCCUGCUUGGUGCCUAGCGCCAGGGCGGGGCGUGGGCUGAGCAGCCCCUCCCAUGGAGGGAGCGGCCAGUCUACAUAUUGGAGGUGGGGCUCUGGGGAAAGGGUGUUGUUAGGAAGGCGGUUUGAGGCAGCGGGAGGUGGGGAUGCGCCCGGCGGGGAGGGGCAGGUGUGUGGGGAGGGCCUGGGGAGCGCCUCCCCAGCCGGGCAGCGCUUCCCCAGCCAGGCCCCGCAGCUGGACCCCGGCUCCGUCCAGCCUGGGAAAGGACUCCACGGUUUAUGCUGAAGUGGUGGUGGGGUGGGUGAACGCUGCGCAAUGGAAGGGCAUGGCCCUGUGCUAAUUGCCCCGGGGUGUGGGGCUGUGGAGGCACUGCGGGGGGGAUGUGCUGUGUCAGUUGGGCAAUGGCGGCCAACUGUGGCGUGCAGGCCUUGGAGCUGCCCCUCCAUGGAGCUUUAAUAAAGGCACUAGCCCUGCAA
This is a long non-coding RNA of Homo sapiens (human), 1531 nucleotides long. Lineage: Eukaryota; Metazoa; Chordata; Mammalia; Primates; Hominidae. The record is from Ensembl.